UGGGGAAUUUUGGACAAUGGGCGAAAGCCUGAUCCAGCAAUGCCGCGUGUGUGAAGAAGGCCUUCGGGUUGUAAAGCACUUUUGUCCGGAAAGAAAUCCUUGGCUCUAAUACAGUCGGGGGAUGACGGUACCGGAAGAAUAAGCACCGGCUAACUACGUGCCAGCAGCCGCGGUAAUACGUAGGGUGCAAGCGUUAAUCGGAAUUACUGGGCGUAAAGCGUGCGCAGGCGGUUUGCUAAGACCGAUGUGAAAUCCCCGGGCUCAACCUGGGAACUGCAUUGGUGANUGGCAGGCUAGAGUAUGGCAGAGGGGGGUAGAAUUCCACGUNUAGCAGUGAAAUGCGUAGAGAUGUGGAGGAAUACCGAUGGCGAAGGCAGCCCCCUGGGCAAGUACUGACGCUCAUGCACGAAAAGCGUGGGGAGCAAACAGGAUUAGAUACCCCUGGUAGUCCACGCCCUAAACGAUGUCAACUAGUUGUUGGGGAUUCAUUUCCUUAGUAACGUAGCUAACGCGUGAAGUUGACCGCCUGGGGAGUACGUCGCAAGAUUAAAACUCAAAUGAAUUGAC
This 567-nucleotide ribosomal RNA is filed under the name uncultured bacterium. RNAcentral describes it as "partial 16S ribosomal RNA". It matches the Rfam family "Bacterial small subunit ribosomal RNA", at positions 355 to 914 of the family's 1533-position model. The record is from RNAcentral.